AGAAUCAACGCUGGCGGCGUGCCUAACACAUGCAAGUCGCACGAGAAAGGGACUUCGGUCCUGAGUACAGUGGCGCACGGGUGAGUAACACGUGAAUCAUCUACCUCCGAGUGGGGAAUAACUGAGAGAAAUCUUAGCUAAUACCGCAUAACACUUACGAGUCAAAGCAGCAAUGCGCUUGGAGAGGAGUUCGCGGCAGAUUAGUUAGUUGGCGGGGUAAUGGCCCACCGAAGACGAUGAUCUGUA
Molecule: ribosomal RNA, 246 nt
Filed under: uncultured bacterium
Lineage: Bacteria
Description: partial small subunit ribosomal RNA
Rfam family: Bacterial small subunit ribosomal RNA
Source: RNAcentral